RNAcentral lists this ribosomal RNA (253 nucleotides) under uncultured bacterium. Its description in RNAcentral is "partial 16S ribosomal RNA". It matches the Rfam family "Bacterial small subunit ribosomal RNA", at positions 524 to 776 of the family's 1533-position model. The record is from RNAcentral.
CACGUAGGGAGCAAGCGUUGUCCGGAUUUAUUGAGCGUAAAGAGCUCGUAGGCGGUCUGUUGCGUCGGCUGUGAAAACCCGGGGCUCAACCCCGGGCCUGCAGCCGAUACGGGCAGACUAGAGUUCGGUAGGGGAGUCUGGAAUUCCUGGUGUAGCGGUGAAAUGCGCAGAUAUCAGGAGGAACACCGGUGGCGAAGGCGGGACUCUGGGCCGAUACUGACGCUGAGGAGCGAAAGCGUGGGGAGCAAACAGG